RNAcentral lists this long non-coding RNA (965 nucleotides) under Homo sapiens (human). Its description in RNAcentral is "HSALNT0139629". The record is from RNAcentral. Lineage: Eukaryota; Metazoa; Chordata; Mammalia; Primates; Hominidae.
GGCACCAAUCGGCGCCCUGACAAAACAGACCACGCCGCUCUACCAAUCAGCAGGAUGUGGGUGAGGCCAGAUAAGAGAAUAAAAGCAGGCUGCCUGGGCCAGCAUUGGCAACCCGCUCGGGUCCCCUUCCACAUCGUGGAAGCUUUGUUCUUUCGCUCUUUGCAAUAAAUCUUGCUACUGCUCACUCUUUGGGUCCACGCUGCUUUUAUGAGCUGUAACACUCACCGCGAAGAUCUGCAGCUUCACUCCCGAGCCAGCGAGACCACGAACCCACCAGAAGGAAGAAACUCCGAACACAUCUGAACAUCAGAAGGGCAGACUCCAGACACGCCACCUUAAGAGCUGUAACACUCACCGCGAGGGUCCACGGCUUCAUUCUUGAAGUCAGUGAGACCAAGAACCCACCAAUUCCGGACACAAUUUCUUGGCUCUCAGUGAUAAAACAGCUAUUCUGAGGAGGAGCCAAGAUGGCCGAAUAGGAACAGCUCCGGUCUACAGCUCCCAGCAUGAGCGACACAGAAGACGGGUGAUUUCUGCAUUUCCAUCUGAGGUACCGGGUUCAUCUCACAAGGGAGUGCCAGACAGUGGGCGCAGGUCAGUGGGUGCGCGCACCAUGCGCGAGCCGAAGCAGGGCGAGGCAUUGCCUCACUUGGGAAGGGCAAGGGGUCAGGGAGUUCCCUUUCUGAGUCAAAGAAAGGGGUGACGGACUCACCUGGAAAAUCGGGUCACUCCCACCCGAAUAUUGCGCUUUUUGGACCGGCUUAAAAAAAACGGUGCACCACGAGAUUACAUCCUGCACCUGGCUCGGAGGGUCCUACGCCCACGGAGUCUCGCUGAUUGCUAGCACAGCAGUUCUGAGAUCAAACUGCAAGGAGGCAGCGAGUCUGGGGGAGGGGCGCCCGCCAUUGCCCAGGCUUGCUUUGGUAAACAAAGCAGCUGGGAAGCUCCAACUGGGUGGAGCCCAC